AACGAACGCUGGCGGCAUGCCUAACACAUGCAAGUCGAACGAACCCUUCGGGGUUAGUGGCGCACGGGUGCGUAACGCGUGGGAAUCUGCCCUUUGCUUCGGAAUAACUCAGGGAAACUUGUGCUAAUACCGGAUGAUGUCUUCGGACCAAAGAUUUAUCGGCAAGGGAUGAGCCCGCGUAGGAUUAGGUAGUUGGUGGGGUAAAGGCCUACCAAGCCGACGAUCCUUAGCUGGUCUGAGAGGAUGAUCAGCCACACUGGGACUGAGACACGGCCCAGACUCCUACGGGAGGCGGCAGUGGGGAAUAUUGGACGAUGGGCGCAAGCCUGAUCCAGCAAUGCCGCGUGAGUGAUGAAGGCCCUCGGGUCGUAAAGCUCUUUUACCAGGGAUGAUAAUGACAGUACCUGGAGAAUAAGCUCCGGCUAACUCCGUG
RNAcentral lists this ribosomal RNA (433 nucleotides) under uncultured bacterium. Its description in RNAcentral is "partial 16S ribosomal RNA". It matches the Rfam family "Bacterial small subunit ribosomal RNA", at positions 29 to 507 of the family's 1533-position model. The record is from RNAcentral.